This 252-nucleotide ribosomal RNA is filed under the name uncultured bacterium. RNAcentral's name for it is "partial 16S ribosomal RNA". It matches the Rfam family "Bacterial small subunit ribosomal RNA", at positions 524 to 776 of the family's 1533-position model. The record is from RNAcentral.
UACGUAAGGACCGAGCGUUGUCCGGAAUCAUUGGGCGUAAAGGGUACGUAGGCGGUUUGAAAAGUUUAAAGUGAAAGGGUAGAGCUCAACGAUAUUAAGCCUUUGAAACUGGUUAACUUGAGUACUGGAAAGGAUAGUGGAAUUCCUAGUGUAGCGGUGAAAUGCGUAGAUAUAAGGAGGAAUACCGGUGGCGAAGGCGACUUUCUAGCCAGAAACUGACGCUGAGGUACGAAAGCGUGGGUAGCAAAGAGG